CUAUUUAGAGCUUACAGCAGCUGUAUAAAAACAGGCAGACCAGAAGUGAUUCUGACAAGUCAGGAGCAAGCUUCUCUAAACUGUGAAAAGAUUACUAUCCAGAAACAUUUAGAAAAACAGAAAAAUGGCAAGUGUUCCAUCAGCUGGAUGUCUGCUAGCAAAAAACCAGUUCUACCGAAAACGACUCAGCUCUGCCUCAAGCAAUUCCUCAACAAAUUCCUCAACAAAUUCAUCAACGUGUUGUGAUCUUGUGGGAGAUCCGGAAAAGACUCCCAUGCCACAUGGUGUACAUAUGCCGUUUGAGAAGUGCUGGUGGCUGAAGAAGUUUUUAACAUGUGAUGUGGUGCAUCAUAAUAUCGCAGAAACUUCAUUGGUAAAUGGUGCUAAGGUAGUCUCCAUGAUGCUGGCGGAUGCAUGACUGUAGAAAUCAGGCUGUAAACUGAAAAGGCCUUGUGAGGGCUACGUGUCUCAGACCACCGUCUCCGCAGAUAGAUGGUGCAGCACUUAUCGAAAAAGGAGGUGAAAGGUUACCCUCUGGCAGAAGUUAGUGUUCUUUGGUUGCCAAGUAUGUACAAAUGUUAUAUAAUCUUUGGCUGUGAGUCACUAUGGGUGGCAUUAAAAGUACAAUACUCAAGUGCAUAUACUGUAAAGAAGAACAAAAGUGAGUGUCUUGGUUGUGACUACCCAAUUAAUUAGUCAGUGCAGAUAAAUGACAAAAUAACAAAAUGCAAAAUGACACCAGUAGCUAAACAGACCCUUGAGCCUGGACCUGAACCUAAAUUUUAAGGCCAUGAAGCACUGUCAUAUACAUAAGCUGCCAUUCACUUAGGCUUGAGCUUACUGAAGCAGAGCCUGUCAGAUUAAGAAUAUUUUUUUGCCAAGACCUGAUUAAUCUCAGAAGGUUUGCAAUUUAAGGCUUCAGGUUAAUACGUUUCUCUGGUCUCAAUUUGCACAUAACUUUGAAGAUUAUAUUUGCAUAAUUGCUUCUGCAGACAGGAGUGAAAAGGAAUGCAUAAGAUUGUAAUUUCUUAUGUUUUGAUGAUUUCUUUUUGUGAAAAGUAAUGUGAAACUCUUAAUACGUGAAGUAAUUAUACAUCUGCAAUUCUCUUUUGGUGAUGAAACUUUUGAAAACUUGAAAAAAAAUUCAUGUAACUAAAUAAUUAAGGUUGCAGACAAUUUUUGUGUUUCCUCUUACCUGAGUUAUUCAUAUACUAAUAUUUUAUUAUUUUUUAUUUAUUCGUGCCAUAUAUGGUUAUACACUUUGUUGUACGUCGCUCUGGAUAAGAGCGUCUGCCAAAUGCCUGUAAUGUAAUUUAAUGUAAUAUAGACUUGCACUGUUACAGUUUUUGUAAUAUACAGGAUGUUAUGCAAGUCUAUAAAUGUAUCAAGUUUUUGUUUAUUAGGUAUUCAUACAUACAGGUUUUAUUUUGUCUAACAUGUUCAAAUAAUUAUAUUAAUAUGGCCACACCUCCAACACAUAAAUAGGAAUUUUAUAAACAGUUUACUUCAUAAAUGCUGAAAGUGCAUUGUACAGUUAUGUGAACCAACAUCUUAACUGGUGCACUCAAUAAAAAUUAUAUCCAUUUAUGCUAUAUCCUUUUAUAUCAGUGUGGCAUUAGGUCUGGUGGUGAACCGGACUGGGCUUGGCUGCGACAGGUGGUGGAGAGAUCACACGCACCUGGGUUGCGUUAAUUAAUCAGCCCAGGUGCUUAAAGGUGUGUUCCUCUCCACAGUUUGGGGCUGAGACCGGAAGCUCACACUGAGGGUACGUUUUUUGUUUGUAUUUCAUUUAAUUUCAGUUUUAUUUCUUAGAAAAUGAUGGAGAAUGUAAACUGCCACUGAAAAGUAGUAGGAGCUGGUGUAAAGUGGGUCAGCUAUGAGUGGCACACUGUAAAGUGGUCGCUCUGUUUUACUUUUUUUUGUCUUUCUUAUUUUAGUUUGUUGUUUUAGUUUAUUGUUUUUGCCCGAAACCUGUGAGGGGGGAGGGCGUUUAUUUAAUUUCGUGUUUGUGCGGGUGCUCUCUUUCUCUCUUCAUGGGGCAACCAACAUUGUCUCCCUCCCAGGGGUGUCACACUGGAAUGUGACAAUCAGUGUUUAUAGUCUACUUCUGAAUGUGUAGGGCACCAUAACUCAUCCAACAGCAUAAUGGCAUUUACCAAGCACAGUACAUUAAUGCUAUUAGCCUAACGGGGAACUUGCUUUACUGCUUGUAUAUCCUUGUAAUGUAGAACUGAGAAGUCCGAUUCAUGCAGUAAACCUAUUUUCUUGCAA
Anguilla rostrata (American eel) is the source of this 2271-nucleotide long non-coding RNA. RefSeq lists it as uncharacterized. The transcript has 5 exons. The record is from RefSeq and is a predicted model, not a curated record. Lineage: Eukaryota; Metazoa; Chordata; Actinopteri; Anguilliformes; Anguillidae.